Molecule: long non-coding RNA, 248 nt
Organism: Mobula hypostoma (lesser devil ray)
Lineage: Eukaryota; Metazoa; Chordata; Chondrichthyes; Myliobatiformes; Myliobatidae
Exons: 3
Source: RefSeq, a predicted model, not a curated record
AAAACACUUGACGAUGGACAUCAUGUCCAAGAUAAAUUUACCUGCAUCCUGUUAGUGCUUUGUUGCUCACCAACGUCUCUCCAAAAAUAAAUCUUCGAUCAGACUUCGUCACAAGGAAUUGUCAGGCACAAGCAUAAAGCAGAUGUGUUCACAGCAUUUGGAGCUAACAGCAACACAUAGAGUGUAGGAAACCCUGCCAACAGAGGUGUACAUUUCCAAUGGUGGAUUACUGGAGCAAUCAAGAAGUA